Molecule: ribosomal RNA, 251 nt
Filed under: uncultured prokaryote
Description: partial 16S rRNA
Rfam family: Bacterial small subunit ribosomal RNA
Source: RNAcentral
ACGGGGAGGUCAAGCGGUGGUCAUAAUUAUUGGGCGUAAAGGGAAUGUAGGCGGUUUGAUAAGCUUGGCGUGAAAUACCGCAGCUCAACUGUGGGGUUGCGUUGAGAACUUCUGAACUUGAGUUACGGAGAGGGAGCUAGAAUUCCUGGUGUAGGGGUGGAAUCUGUAGAGCUUAGGAAGAAUACCGAUGGCGAAGGCACGCAUCUGGAAGAUAACUGACGCUGAGGUGCGAAAGUGUGGGGAUCGAACAG